This 478-nucleotide ribosomal RNA is filed under the name uncultured bacterium. RNAcentral's name for it is "partial 16S ribosomal RNA". It matches the Rfam family "Bacterial small subunit ribosomal RNA", at positions 28 to 523 of the family's 1533-position model. The record is from RNAcentral.
GACGAACGCUGGCGGCGUGCUUAACACAUGCAAGUCGAACGGUAAGGCCCUUCGGGGUACACGAGUGGCGAACGGGUGAGUAACACGUGGGUGAUCUGCCCUGCACUUCGGGAUAAGCCUGGGAAACUGGGUCUAAUACCGGAUAGGACCACUGCCUGCAUGGGUGGUGGUGGAAGGCUUUUGCGGUGUGGGAUGGGCCCGCGGCCUAUCAGCCUGUUGGUGGGGUGAUGGCCUACCAAGGCGACGACGGGUAGCCGGCCUGAGAGGGUGACCGGCCACACUGGGACUGAGAUACGGCCCAGACUCCUACGGGAGGCAGCAGUGGGGAAGAUUGCACAAUGGGCGCAAGCCUGAUGCAGCGACGCCGCGUGAGGGAUGACGGCCUUCGGGUUGUAAACCUCUUUCAGCACCGACGAAGCGCAAGUGACGGUAGGUGCAGAAGAAGGACCGGCCAACUACGUGCCAGCAGCCGCGGUAA